Molecule: long non-coding RNA, 3147 nt
Organism: Papaver somniferum (opium poppy)
Lineage: Eukaryota; Viridiplantae; Streptophyta; Magnoliopsida; Ranunculales; Papaveraceae
Exons: 3
Source: RefSeq, a predicted model, not a curated record
UCUACUUUAAACGCGAGUUGGGGUUUCAAAAUCAAGUUUGGACUCAGAUUCAGAUCUAUCAAUAAAAACUAAGGUAUGCAAAAUUCUUGAAGUUUCAUUUUUCAUGUUCAAUCUGAGUGUUCAUUUGGGUUUCACUUUCAGACAUCAUCUAUUGAUUUAAGAAUGGUUGAAAUGGAAGUCGAGAAAUCUCUGAGUGUAAGCAUGUUGUUGUUACUAAUAGUGAAGAAGAGGAAGAAGAAGAAGAAGAAAAAGAGAAGAAGAGGGUUUAUUAUUAAUAACUCAACUUGGUAUGUGAGGAAUAGGAAAAAAAACACCUCAGAUCUGGAACCGGAUUCAAAUGGCUUAUCUGAUUUAGAGACAAUCCAGAGGAGUUAUGGUUGAGGAUUUAUAGAAAUACACUUUGAUUCAUUUGUGGAUGGCAUGAAGAAUCAUCUUAUCAGCUAAAACAUUUACGGUAUCUCAGUGUUUCGUAGUUGAUUAUAGUAAGAAAUAUCGAGAUUACGUGAUCCCCUUCGGUAUUUGCAAACACCUCAAUCGAUUCGGCAAAGCUGAAAUUGGGCAUUUCAAAAGUGAAGGUAUUUCGACAUCUCCUAUAAUAUAAGUAGAGUGUAUUAUGAUUUAUCAAUUUAGCUUCCUGUAUCCAGAUUUAUAUGAUGAAUUAGAAUGCCUUAACCUGUCGAAAGCGGAAAAAAAGUAUCACUACAUUAAGGCAUCUUAUACACCUAGUUAGUUAUAGAGAACAAGAGUUUUUGUAACACUACUAGCACCAAGGACUCGUAUUAUCUGCGCAAGGAACAACCCCAUUUAAGUUUUAGUAACUACAUACUUGAAAGCGUUGAACCUUCAAAAGAGCAAAAAAAGUGUAUGAUUAACUUGAGACAUCUUAUAGAAGACAGUCGUAUUGUUGUAGAAGAACGAUUGACCUGCAAGGUAGAAUAUAGACAACUAAGUUGCCUUUAAUGGGCAACUCAAGUGGUGCUUGAACUGCUCUAAACCCACAUUGAUGAUUUACUAAUUAUGUGAUCGGAAAAGUUGAGGCCAAAACUUAAAUUCGAAGCAGAAGCAAUUAUCAGCCAACAGAAUUCGCCCUGGCGAAUGAGAGCAUAGAAAAGCACUACUGCUGUAAGAAGGGCUUGAUUUUGCAGGGCAACUGGUGUCCUUUCGAUGUGAGAGAAGAAGAAUGUGCAAGAAAGAAGAAGAAGAAUUCUGGCAGCAUAGCACUUCAUCUCCUAUUUAAGGUAUAGAAAACUGUUGUAGCUUAAAUUUUCUCAAACUGUUUAUGGCAGAACACCUUAAAUAUAUAUAUAUAGUAGCUCAGGUUUUCUAUGAUUGGUAUCUAACCCAUGGUAAUGGAUUGCUGAAUUGUAAUCUUUCUGAUCAUUCAGACGCUUUUUCCGUAGGUUUAAAUUUUUAUGCUUACUAACUGAACAGAUUAAUAUUUUAUCUUCCUUUUCUUUUUAGAUUAUGUUCUUGUUGUUUGCUAUUAUGGAACUGAGUUUCGGUUACCUCUCUCAACUUAAACUUCAGUACUCUAUUCAAGUGAUUCCUUUUGUUCUAGGCUUUUAUCCCUAUAUUGAUGGUUAAUAGUUGAGGAUUUUAAAAUAGCUUUGUAUACUGUUACAUAUACAUUUUCAGCUUGGUAAAGAAAAUUUAUACUCUGGUAUAUAAUAAUUUUUGUACUACUAGACCACUAUAAAACUCCAAGCAGAUUCGUGCUGCGGUUUUGUACUAUUCGAUGCGCAAGUAAAAGCUCUCCUUGCAAAUCGCAGUGGUAACAAAGUGCAGCACAAUAAACUCUCUUCCAGGUUUUGUGAUUGCUGAGUGAUCGUAAAAUUAUGGUAUAUUGGCUUGUUGGUCCUUGUCAGUCAAUUUCCAUGCCUGCAGUAUCUGCAUUAUGUAAUUCCUGUUGCCAAUGAGCUGAAAGUUGAUAUGAAGACAUUUUUAGGUUAAUGUGUAAUCUCAAGUAAAUAAGUAUUUUGAUUACUUUUGUAGUACUCUUUUCAGAUAAUCUUCUUGUUACUUGAGAUUCCAUGUUAGUAAACAGUAACUACUGUUGAUACGGAAAAAUAAAAAAAAGAGUUAAAAACAAAUCACCGUUGAUAAGUAAAAAGUAAAAGAAAAUUGGCAUUUAGUUACUACCUAGAAACCGGUGAAAAGGGACCCUAUUUCUUUACGCGUCUUGGAGAUAAAAGAUUCCAGGUUGUUGAUAUCCGUGAACUUCUGUAUCUAUCAUUGAAACUUGAGAGAUAGAGACUAGAGAGACGGCAUGCAUUUCAAAUCAAAGUCAGGUUCAGAUCUAUAAACAACUGCUCCAAGGUAUGCAAUAACAGAGUUCUAGAAAUCUCAUUUUUCAUUUUCAAUCUGAGUGUAAGAAAGAUACUUCUAUGGAUUCAAGAAUGGUUGAAUUUGAAUAUCAGACUGUAAUAAGCAUGUUGUUGUUACUAAGCAAGGAAACAGUAGCAAAGAGGAAGAAGAAGAAGAAGAAGAAGAAAAGAGAAGAAGAGGGUUUAUUAAGUGGUUACUGGAGUGUCACCUCUCUGGAAAACAUUAUUGUAUGUCCAUUCUUUUGUCAUUUAUUGGAAUCUAUGGAAGGAAGAGUUGUAAUCUUCAGAAUUUUGUCACAAAUGGAGAUAUUUUGAUCAGAGCUGGUAUUUUUCUGCGACAUACUGAUUGCCUUUAGUUUGAUGAUUUUUUGGGGUUGUUAUGCUUUUAGUUGAUUAGGGGGCAUGUUGAUGACACUGCAAUCCCAAACAGCAAGAUUCAUACUUUAAAUAAUUCCAACUUAUGGGUCCAAGGAAAAGGCUUCCUACAAAAGGUGCAGUUGAGUUGUUAUCUGAUUUAUCCAUUUCUUUUCCUGCAUCCAGACUUUUGAAACAAAAGUGCCUUGACCUGUCAAAAGCAAAAAAAGAGUAUCACUACGUUGAGGCAUCUUAUACACCUAAUUAGUUAGAGAACAAGAGUUUUUGUAACACAGCAAGGUUUCAUAUGUACAGUUAGCACUUCAUCAACAUAUGUAAGAUCAUGAGACCUGUUAUAACUAGGGCUGCACAACGGGUAGGGUGGGUAGGAUAUGGCCUAUAUCCGCCACCCUACCCGUUUACCGGCGGUUAAGAAAAUCUUUACCCGCCACCCUACCCGUCAAAUAAU